GACGAACGCUGGCGGCGUGCCUAAUACAUGCAAGUCGAGCGGACUUAUAAAAGCUUGCUUUUGUAAGUCAGCGGCGGACGGGUGAGUAACACGUGGGCAACCUGCCUAUAAGACUGGGAUAACUUCGGGAAACCGGAGCUAAUACCGGAUAAUAUAAGGAACCUCCUGGUUCUUUAUUGAAAGACGGUUUCGGCUGUCACUUAUAGAUGGGCCCGCGGCGCAUUAGCUAGUUGGUGAGGUAACGGCUCACCAAGGCAACGAUGCGUAGCCGACCUGAGAGGGUGAUCGGCCACACUGGGACUGAGACACGGCCCAGACUCCUACGGGAGGCAGCAGUAGGGAAUCUUCCACAAUGGACGAAAGUCUGAUGGAGCAACGCCGCGUGAGCGAUGAAGGCCUUCGGGUCGUAAAGCUCUGUUGUUAGGGAAGAACAAGUGCGAGAGUAACUGCUCGCACCUUGACGGUACCUAACCAGAAAGCCACGGCUAACUACGUGCCAGCAGCCGCGGUAAUACGUAGGUGGCAAGCGUUGUCCGGAAUUAUUGGGCGUAAAGCGCGCGCAGGUGGUCCUUUAAGUCUGAUGUGAAAGCCCACGGCUCAACCGUGGAGGGUCAUUGGAAACUGGGGGACUUGAGUGCAGAAGAGGAAAG
RNAcentral lists this ribosomal RNA (650 nucleotides) under Bacillus sp. YIM DKMY21. RNAcentral's name for it is "bacterial SSU rRNA". It matches the Rfam family "Bacterial small subunit ribosomal RNA", at positions 28 to 661 of the family's 1533-position model. The record is from RNAcentral. Lineage: Bacteria; Bacillati; Bacillota; Bacilli; Caryophanales; Bacillaceae.